UGGGGGGGCCUGGUUGCACCAUUUAAUAGUCAUUGUCCGACAUCAGGAGGUCCUUUCGCUCACGUAAGUGUCUAGCAACUGAGGGAAGUUUUGCUAAUCAAACAAGGAGCGGUUUAAUUAAAUCCAGAAUUGCAUGAAGAGGAUAGCCCUCUGCCAAUCCCUGCUCCCAGGCACUGGUCUCAGCAGCGCCGAAGUCAGACAAAUUGGUUAAAUUGAUCCUGCUCCGAGGAAAGGGUGGUUCAUCUAGGUCCAAUCAAGGGCAGAUUGAGGUGUGAUGUGGGACCAGGCGAAGGAAUCAGGCGGCCCACUCUUCCUGGGCGAGGAGUCUGGCUUCACAGAGCAAAAGCACCUCCGCUUCUGGGUGGCUUUAUUACCCGCUGAACACCCAGGGUCUUGAAUUGUGAGCUGCAGGCCCACCCUUGCUCCUCAGCAGGCCAUAAAGGCUGUGGGCUCAGACGGGAGCAGUCCGGGAAACCGGAGCUGGCCUUGUGUCUUUGUUCUGUCUAUAAUCUGCCAAAUCAGUAUUUGACCUAAUGAAUCACACACCAAGUCAGAGGACGUCCAUGCUCCUGCCCCGAGCUAGCUAUUUCCCACCAGUGUUUUUCACACCACGGACCUGGAAAGAAGGUCAGAAGACUCUCACCUCUCGUUCCAUGGACACUGUGUAUUUAUAUAUGGCUCUCUCUGCCUCUGGACACCAGCUCCCUGAAAGCGAGGCUAAUGACCAGGUCAUGUUUGGAUUUCCUGCAUCUGACACAGCGCAGAUUUUCGUGGUGAGUGCUGAGCAAACAGACUCCAGAUGGAUGGAUGGGUGGAUGGGUGGAUGGGUGGGUAGACGAAGGAGUCCAUUCUUAGUUCCCAGUGAAGUGGGCAUUUCUUGCAUAACUCCUUCCUAGGCACAGAAGAG
Fukomys damarensis (Damara mole-rat) is the source of this 907-nucleotide long non-coding RNA. The record is from Ensembl. NCBI's taxonomy places the organism in Eukaryota, Metazoa, Chordata, Mammalia, Rodentia, Bathyergidae.